GGGGGGGCCUACUCACGGGGGUGUUGGUCAGUGAGGACAUGGUCAUUGUGGUCGGCUUAACGGGAUCCAUUCAAUGAGGGUCAGGUCAUGGAAAAUCUGGUCAGUGGGGUUUGAUCAGCAGGGGACUGCUCAGUGGGGAUCGGACCAGUGGGGCCUGGUCAGCAGGCGGCCGGCAGUUCCUGGGGCCUGGUCAGUGGGGUCCAGCAGUUGGGACCUGGUUGAUUGGAGGGUCCAGCCCUACGGGACUUAGCGGGUGUUCUCCCCGUGUGCAGAGACGAGAGAGCGUAAGAAAUAAAGACACAAGACCAAGAGAUAAAGAGAAAACAGCUGGGCCCGAGGGACCACUACCAUCAAGACGCGGAGACCAGUAGUGGCCCUGAAUGGCUGGGCACACUGAUAUUUAUUGCAUACAAGACAAGGGGCGUAGGGUCAGGAGGGUGAAUCUUCUAAGUGAUUGACAAGGUGAAGCAAGUCACGUGAUCACAGCACAGGGGGCCCUUCCCUCUUAGGUAGCCGAAGCAGAGAGAGAGAAGGCAGCAUACGUCAGCGUUUUCUUCUAUGCACUUACAAGAAAGAUCAAAGACUGUAAGACUUUCACUAUUCCUUCUACCGCUAUCUACUACAAAUUUCAAAGAGGAACCAGGAGUACGGGAGGAACAUGAAAGUGACCAUUGGAGCACAGCACCACAAGGAGGGGUUUAGGCCUCCGGAUGACUGCGGCAGGCCUAGAUAAUAUCCAGCCUUCCACAAGAAGCUGGUGGAGCAGUGUUCCCUGACUCCUCCAAGGAAAGGAGACUCCCUUUCGCAGUCUGCUAAGUAACGGGCGCCUUCCCAGACACUGGCGUUACCGCUUGACCAAGGAGCCCUCAAGCUGCCCUUAUGCACGCGUUGACAGAGGGCUCACCUCUUGCCUUCUAGGUCACUUCUAACAAUGUCCCUUCAGCACCUGACCCUCUACCCGCCAGUUAUUCCUAGGUUAUGUUAGUAACGCAACAAAGAGUAAUAUUAAAAGCUAAUGAUUAAUAAUGUUUAUAAUAAUGAUUGAUAAUUGUCCAUGAUCAUCUCUAUAUCUAAUUUGUAUUAUGACUAUUCUUAUUCUAACUAUUUUCUUUAUUAUACUGAAACAGUUUGUGUCUUCAGUCUCUCACCUCGGCACCUGGGUAAUCCUCCGCCCACAGUCAAUAGGGGUCUGCAGCUGGGGCAAGGUCAGCGGGGAUCUGAUCAGUGAGACCUAGUCAGGUCUCACUGACUGACUAGGCCCUGGGGGUUGGGGCCUGGCCAGCAAGAGUCCAGUAGUUGGGGCGUGUUUGGCGAGGGUCUCAUGGUUGGGGUCUGGCCAGCGGGGGUCCCACAGUUGGGGCCUGGUGAGCAGAGAUCUGGCAGUUGCAGCCUCGUCCAUGGGGGUCUGGCAGUUGGGGCCUGGUCAGCGGGGUCUUAUAGUUGGGGCCUGUUUGGAGGGGGUCCAGCAGUUGGGGCCUGGUCAGAGGGGAUACGGCAGCUGGGGGUUAUUUGGCAGGGAUGCAGCAGCUGGGACCUGGUAGGUGGGGUCUGGCGGUUGGGGCCUGGUCAGUGAGGAUCAGAUCAGUGCGGUCUAGGCAGUGAGGUCUGGACGCUGGGCCUUCAUCUGCAUGGGUCUCGCAGUUGGGACCUGGUCAGCAGGGGUCUACCAGUUGGGGCCUGGUUGGCGGAAUCAGGCAGUUGGGACCUGGUUGUCGGGGGUCCAACAGUUGGGGCCUGGUCAAAGGGGAUCCAGCAGUUGGAACCUGGUCAGCAGGGCUCUGGCAGUUGGGGCCUGGUCAUUGGGGUCUGGCAGUUGGGGCCUGGUCAACAGGGGUCCAGGAGCUGAGGCCUGGUUGGUGGGCCGUCUAGCAGUUGAGGCCUGGUCAUCUGGGCCCGGCAUUUGGGGCCUGAUCGGCGGGGAUCAGAGCAGUGAGGCCUAGUCAGUGAGGUGUGGAUGUGGGGGCCUGGUAAGCAGGGGCCCAGCAGUUGGGGUCUGGUCAGCAGGGGUCUCAUAAGAAGAGGCCUGGUUGGCAAGGGUCUGGCAGUUGGGGCUCAGUCAGGAGGGGUCUAGGAGUUGGGGCCCAGUCAGUGGGGUCUGGCAGUUUGGGCUUGAUCAGUGCAGUCCAGCAGUUGUUGGGGCCUGGUCAGUGGGGGUCCAGUAGCUGGGACAUGGUCAGUGGAGUCCAGCGUCCGGGGCCUGGUUGGCAGGGGUCUGACAGUUGGCGCCUGGUUGGUGGGGAUCCCAUAGUUGGGGCCUGUCAGCAGGGAUCCAGCAUUUGGGGCCCAGUCAGUGGGGUUCAGCUUUUGGGGCCUGGUGAGUGGGGUUCAGCAUUUGGGGCCUGGCCAGCAGGGGUCCAGCAGUUGUUAGGGCCUGGUCAGCGGGGGUCUGAUUAGUGAGAUCUAUUUGGUGGGGUCCAUCAGUUGGGACCUAGUCAGUGAGGGCCGUGAGGGCCUUGUCAGUUGCAGCCUUGUUAUUGUGGCCUUUGUCAGUGGUGUCUGAUGAGCCAGGGCCUGGUCUGUGGGGCCCAGUCAGCAGGACCUGGUCAGUCCACAUCUGGUCAGUGGGACCUGGUCAUUGUGGGGGUGGUCAGCUAGGACCUGUUCAGUGGGAGCUUAACCAUUGGAAGCCUGGCCAGUGGGAUCCUGGGUGAUCUCAGGCCACGGGUUAGUCCUCGAAGCCUCCGUGAUUGCCUCCAUCCAUGGGGUGGGGGGUGAGUCACAGCACCCCAGUGGGCUUCUGGGAGGAGGAGGUGAGAGGGUGCAUUGCAUUGAAUCCAGCCCUGCCACACAGACCUGGCACUUUACACACUACGCGAGUCACCCCAAGGGGGAAGCCUGGCUUCUGCCCUCUGCCCUCUGCCCUCUGCCCUUUGCCCUAUGUCCCUGCCCCAUCUGCAUCCCCAGGACCACCCAGCAUGGAAAGAGCAGAGGCUGAGGAGCACCUAUGGGUGCUCUGAUGCUGGCCACAGGCCCGGGGGUGACAGUGACAGGGAUCCAGGUGCACACCUGAGUGGAGCAGCCAGGCCCAGCUGGAGGAGAGACGUGUUCACCCACACACAUGCAUCCUCACAUACACAGACAAAUUGCACGCAUACAUGUUGACCAUUAAGCGGGCAGAGGACGCUGACCCUGGGCCCUGCUGAGCCAGGUAGGGCCCCGUCAUGACAGAGGCUGUGAACCCAUGCUGUCACUGUGCCAAGUGCCGCCAGCCUACCUCCGUGUCAUGGAGCAGUUGGAGACACAGAGGUGCUGUAAGUGGUUGUGCAGAAAGGACCCUUUUCUGGGUGAGAAGCACAUCUCAGCACCGCUGCCUGAUCAGACUCAGGAAAGCGUGACCUGCUCUCUUCCCCCCUGCUGACUUGGGGACAGUCACAACCAGGAUGGACGUGGAGGAAGACGUGGCUACCCUACUUGCACAGGAGCAGGGGGCAUCAUUGCCCAGUGUGAGCAGUGAGACGUAGCUGCCACCCAUCAGUGCCCUGGAAGUGAAGAGAAGACAUCAGGAGAUGAGGGACACAGAAAAAUGGCUCCAGGUGCUUCUCGACUGCCAGCGACAUAGGAGCGGCAAGGAGAGCAAGUAAUGACGCCCUCCUCCCAGACUUGCCCCAAAGCCCCCCAGAGCUUGGUGGUGUCCCAGGACGGUCCUCCCAGGAAACAUUUUGAAUAAGUUGCUGAAGUGCCUGAUGGACGUGGCUCUCGUCACGAAAUGAGUUUGGAUCCGAGAAGCCCUCUUCUUCAUCGGAAAACAGGACAAAGAUGAGCUGCGUGCCCAUAAUUCCACGUUUACGCUGACUCCUCCAGUGCCUCAUCAAUGAAGUAAGCAGGCAGCUACGUUCUGGAUGGCUAGCAUGUACCGAAGGCACAAAACCUCCAGAGUUGGCAGAGUUAAGUCCUGGCGUGCCCGAGGCUAUCCAGGGGAACACGCGGGACAGACAGCACCCUCAGCCUGUCCCCAUGACCCUCUGCUCCAGUCUGAGGGGCAGGACACCAUGAGACCUCUCAGACACAGAGUCCACCCUCGACAUGACCCGGAUGAAAGGCAGGAGUGUGUGCCCUGCUUUUGCCCUCGAAGCUCGCUGAAGGGGACCCAUCUCUGCAAGCCCACAGCCCUACCUGCAGCAUCCACAGCCUCAGAGAGCAGCGGGGCCCCUUACCCCUGAACCCCCUCCAAGAGCAUCAGGACAACAAGCCUUGAGCUGUGGAGACAAGAGAAUCAGUAUCCCUGGCCCAGGGAGGAUUCCAGGAGAGGACACGGGCAGGAGCCCUGGCCCAGAGCCAGAACCAAGAGUCCAGCCAGCGAAACUGGAACUAGGGUCCCCGGCACCCAGGACUCUGCGAGCAUCCCCCAACAGCAAGCCCUUCUGCAAGGGAGACGGGUUGGCCCACCCCAGGCUGUCCAGCUCCAGCAGCCUUGCAGGCAGCCUCUCCAGAAAAAGAGCCUGGUCCUCCCCACCCUGCUCCCCACAGGCUGUCCCUGACCCUGAGGCCCAGAGGCACAAGAGGACUUCUGUAGAGCCCAGGGGAGCAGGCUGUUCUCUUGGGGCCCCAGCGGGCUCAAGGUGUGGCCAGGCUGUCCCCAACUCAGGAUAGAUCAUAGGCUGUCCUGCGUACCUCCUCUGGAACUCCCUGCCCAAGCUCUGCCAUGGACCUGGACGUCAGGGGCCUGUGGUUUAACUUUGAAUAGGGAUUCUGGACCUUACACGUGUGCCCUGGACAGCCCCAGAACCAUGGGGUGGGGACCGACCCAGCAAGCCCACCGGGGCCCUGAAACCCGGCCCUGCCGGACACUGUGAUAAUAACCAAGAGGCAAGUCCAGAGACAUCCACUUUGCCCAAUGGCACCUGCAUCCAACUUCUCAGCAGGCAGUGACUGGCAUGGUGUGGGGGCAGCCGGGGCAGCACCUGGCCAGCACCUGGCCAGCUGCCCUGUAGCCCCCGAUGGCUCCAGUGCCUCUGGACCUCAUUUUCUACUUUCUACGGGGAAACCUACUCCCUCAGAGGCCACCAGAGGGAAGAGUGAGCAAGGCGUUCCUGCAGUCCCGACCAGCCAGCGGCAUGUCCUGUGGCCUCUGACUCAACCUAUGAGACAGAGCUCUGAUCCCAGGGCACACUUCCCAGGACACGGGGCCCAGCCUCAACCAGAGCCCUGUGAAGGGAGGGGCACCAGGAUGACCACAUGGGGGACCAUGGCGCUGCACACCUGGGCACUGUACUUCUCAUUGGAGAAUCCAGGCAAGAUCUUGAAGCAGGUGCAUGAGGUCCUGAGCCUGUGCAGCAAACAGCACUCAUCUGGGGUUGGCACGAAGGGGUCUACAGAGCCACGGCCACCGCAGCCUCUUCCCGGCCCCAUCUGUGCAGUGCAAGUGAUCCACGCCUGCUCCUAAACCCAGCCCAGCAAGCAGCAGCAGCCCGGGCCCCCAAGCCCGCCAGGCCAAUGUGCUGCCCAGAGGCUUCGAGGCCCUGCCCGCUGUACCUCCCACCACCUGGAAGCUGCCUCCUGACGCCUUCCAGCCACUGCUGCAGCCGCAACAGGUGUCGCGGCCAGUGCAGGCUUUCCAGACGGUGGCAGCGCCCAGCAGCCGUUGCCUCAGCUCUUUGGUGGCAGCCAGGCCAACAAGGGCAGCAACGAUGACUAGGAUGAUGAGUGAGCAAACAGCUCCACACUGGUGGACAGGCUGGGUGCGCACCCGGUGGUCCUCAAAGGCUCGCUGGGCCUGUACCACCGUUAUAAAUUUGAGAUCAUGAGAUUAUACCGUUUGCCUUCUUGCUUUUUGAAGUACGAGUAUUUUUAUGCACACUUUGUAGACUUCAAAAUCCAUGAAGAGUCUCAAAGAAGCCGGAUGGAUGGAGCCUGCUGCGGAUGCCUUUUACUCUCGUAGAUCAGGGUGAUUUACAUUCCACCUGUAGUCUGCUUGCAAACACACAGAGCAGCCUUGCAGCUUUGUGCCUUUAGACUCUUGGUUUUGCAUUUCUCCCUGCUCCCUUCUUCCUUCCAGUAAGCUGCAACUUUUCUGAUUGAAAGGGUGCAAGGCUAACACACGGAAUGACUAACUCAGGAUCACAUACUGGCAGUGGGAGAGGCAGGAGGAGCAGCUGCCAUCAAUUGCCAGGGCCAAGUGGAUGAUAGGAUGGAUGCUGGUGCAUGCGGAGGAGGCAGACGCAACGCUCAUCUCUAAUAAUGAUGUCUGUUCCCUCAGAGGCGGCUAGAGCAUCACCUCUUCACGCAAGUGUCUUGAAACUCAGCUUGAAGAUUUCAGCAAAUGUGUCUUACAGAGAAGAGAAGAGGGAGUCAGCCCAUCGGGAUUAAAAAUAUAGAGGCAGUGACAACACACACUCGGCUUCAGUUCUUAGGAGAGUUUUGGUUUUGAUUUUUUUUUUUUUUUUGGAGAAGAUUUUUUUUUUAAUGGAUCUACACUGUUAACUGAGACUCUGUUGAGAUUCACUGGUUUACUUAAAAACUUCUCAGGGAUGUCUGUAAAUUUCAGUGUUAUAUGUCAUGAAAACUGGUGUGGGCAGAUCUGUUGGUUGAAAUAAUUUCUACUGUUUCAAAUACUGAAGGCAGGAAUAAUUGGUUUAUACUGUGUUUUAAAUAGAAGUAUUACUGGUAAGUCCCCCAGGACAUUAAACCUUAAAAAUCAGUUUUAAGCUAUUAUUAUUGUAAGAGAAAUACAAAUGGCUGGAAAAUGCCACAGAGAUUCAAAAGCUGCUUAAUUGAAAGAGCAGGAAGGGAUUCUGGCUUGCAAUGCCAAAGUUUCAAUGUUUUUGUAGUUACUGAGCUAAAUCAUAUGGUAAUUGACAGUUUCUAAAUCUGUCACCUAAAGGUUAAAUUAUCUACUGUUGCCGUGAAGUCAAACUUACUGCUGCCUCAGAAAUCCCUGGGUACCGCGAUGGUCAUACAGAAGUAAGGAAGUCAAUUUGAAAUGUCAGUGAGUCAAAAUGAUUAAAGAGGCCAGGUGCAGUGGCUCACGCUUGUAAUCCCAGCACUUUGGGAGGCUGAGGCAGUGGAUUGCUUGAGUCCAGGAGUUUGAGAUCAACCUGUGCGACAUGGCAAAACCCUGUCUCUACAAAAAAUACAAAACAAAUUUAUCCAGACCUAGUGGUGCGCGCCUGUAUAGUUCCAGCUAGGGGGCUGAGGUCGGGGGAUGGCCUGAGCCUGGGAAGUCAGGGCUGCAGUGAGCCGAGAUGGCACCACUGCACUCUGGCCUGGGUGACACAGCCAGACCCUGCCUUAAAAAAAAAAAAAAAAAAAAAAAAGAUUUAAAAAACGGUCUGUUUAUUUAAAAAGAAAAGUGAAAUAAUGCCCAACAGUACAUUUACUCUCUUUUCAGGCUGGGUGCGCUGGCUCACGCCUGUAAUCCCAGCACUUUGGGAGGCCAAGGCAGGCAGAUCACCUGAGGUCAGGAGUUCGAGACCAGCCUGGUCAACAUGGCAAAACCCCGUCUCUACUAAAAAUAUAAAAAUUAGCCAGGCAUGGUGGUGCAAGCCUAUAAUCACAGCUACUUGGGAGGCUGAACCAAGAGAAUCACUUGAACCCAGGAGGUGGAGGUUGCAGUGAGUUGAGAUCACGCCACUGCACUCCACCUGGGCAACAGAGUAAGACUCUGUCUCAAAAAAAUAAUAAUAAUAAUUUCAUAUGGGUUAAAUUUUAAGGUCAGAUGAUCACAAUUUUGAUAUUUUGUCUAAUUUUAUACCUUAGGUGACUUAGAGCCUGAUUUAACGUGACUUUGUCUUGACUACGGAUACGUGGAACUGCAGCCAAAUAUAUUGUUCUGUUUUUAAAAAACAACAAAAAAAAAACCUGCUUCAGUUACUAGGACUGAAGAAAACUGGGCAAAGGGGGGCCCAGGAGGCUAGGUCCCUACAUCUGCCAUUCUUGGCAGCUGCAUUUCACGGUUAGAAAAACUCAGGAAAUAGCCGGGCGUGGUGGCUCACGCCUGUAAUCCCAGCACUUUGAGAGGCCGAGGCAGGUGGAUCACCUGAGGUCAGGAGUUCGAGACCAGCCUGGCCAACAUGGG
RNAcentral lists this long non-coding RNA (8014 nucleotides) under Homo sapiens (human). RNAcentral's name for it is "non-protein coding LINC00661:1". The record is from RNAcentral. Lineage: Eukaryota; Metazoa; Chordata; Mammalia; Primates; Hominidae.